GGGGAUGUUUUUGGGAUUCGACAGGCGUAGAUUCGCAUUGACUGCGAUUCGUAGGUUACGUCUACGUAAAAACGUUACAGUUAAAUAUAACUGCAAAUAACAAAAAUUCUUACGCAUUAGCUGCUUAAUUUAGCGCAUGCGUUGCUCUUUGUCGGUUUACUCGUGGCUUACACUGAGUAUCAACUUUAGCGAGUUACGUUUAACUAUCUCACCUGAAUAGUUGAAAAGAGUCUUAACAGGUUAGCUAGCUCAUCCUAGCCCUGUUAUAUGGCGUUUUGAGCUAGUGAAGUUCAAGUAAUAUAACUAUGAUCGUAGAGGUCAGUGACGGAAUGCGUUUGGACAGGGGUUCAACUCCCCUCAUCUCCAUCG
Molecule: transfer-messenger RNA, 369 nt
Filed under: Lactobacillus helveticus
Lineage: Bacteria; Bacillati; Bacillota; Bacilli; Lactobacillales; Lactobacillaceae
Description: Standard tmRNA
Rfam family: transfer-messenger RNA
About the family: Bacterial tmRNA, also known as 10Sa RNA or SsrA, is named for its dual tRNA and mRNA-like properties. Its role is to liberate the mRNA from a stalled ribosome.
Source: RNAcentral